GCACGGGUGGCAGAGCGGUCAAUUGCUCGAGACUGUAAAUCUCGCGCCUUCGGGCUACGCAGGUUCGAAUCCUGCCCCGUGCACCA
RNAcentral lists this transfer RNA (86 nucleotides) under bacterium. Its description in RNAcentral is "tRNA-Tyr". It matches the Rfam family "tRNA". Rfam says of the family: Transfer RNA (tRNA) molecules are approximately 80 nucleotides in length. The record is from RNAcentral.